RNAcentral lists this ribosomal RNA (548 nucleotides) under uncultured bacterium. Its description in RNAcentral is "bacterial SSU rRNA". It matches the Rfam family "Bacterial small subunit ribosomal RNA", at positions 355 to 895 of the family's 1533-position model. The record is from RNAcentral.
UAGGGAAUCUUCGGCAAUGGACGGAAGUCUGACCGAGCAACGCCGCGUGAGUGAAGAAGGUUUUCGGAUCGUAAAGCUCUGUUGUAAGAGAAGAACGAGUGUGAGAGUGGAAAGUUCACACUGUGACGGUAUCUUACCAGAAAGGGACGGCUAACUACGUGCCAGCAGCCGCGGUAAUACGUAGGUCCCGAGCGUUGUCCGGAUUUAUUGGGCGUAAAGCGAGCGCAGGCGGUUAGAUAAGUCUGAAGUUAAAGGCUGUGGCUUAACCAUAGUACGCUUUGGAAACUGUUUAACUUGAGUGCAGAAGGGGAGAGUGGAAUUCCAUGUGUAGCGGUGAAAUGCGUAGAUAUAUGGAGGAACACCGGUGGCGAAAGCGGCUCUCUGGUCUGUAACUGACGCUGAGGCUCGAAAGCGUGGGGAGCGAACAGGAUUAGAUACCCUGGUAGUCCACGCCGUANCGAUGAGUGCUAGGUGUUAGGUCCUUUCCGGGACUUAGUGCCGCAGCUAACGCAUUAAGCACUCCGCCUGGGGAGUACGACCGCAAGGNU